UGUCUCCUCUAUUCUCCUCCAAGAAUAGAUUCAGCCCGCUCCUGCAGCGGGCUUUUUUUU
Molecule: non-coding RNA, 60 nt
Filed under: Massilia sp. WF1
Lineage: Bacteria; Pseudomonadati; Pseudomonadota; Betaproteobacteria; Burkholderiales; Oxalobacteraceae
Description: Betaproteobacteria toxic small RNA
Rfam family: Betaproteobacteria toxic small RNA
About the family: Overexpression in amino aid rich medium attenuates growth, suggesting role in repressing amino acid intake and metabolism.
Source: Rfam by way of RNAcentral